UGGUCAAGGUAUUAAGGGUGCAGGGCGGAUGCCUUGGCACUAGGAGCCGAUGAAGGACGUGAUAAGCUGCGAUAAGCUUCGGGGAGUUGCACGUAAACUUUGAUCCGAAGAUUUCCGAAUGAGGAAACUCACUUAGAGUAAUGUCUAAGUAUCAUUAAGUGAAUACAUAGCUUAAUGAGGGGAACUCAGGGAACUGAAACAUCUAAGUACCUGAAGGAAGAGAAAGAAAUUCGAUUCCGUAAGUAGCGGCGAGCGAACGCGGAUUAGCCCAAACCAAUAAAGUUUUCUUUAUUGGGGUUG
RNAcentral lists this ribosomal RNA (300 nucleotides) under Clostridioides difficile. Its description in RNAcentral is "partial 23S ribosomal RNA". It matches the Rfam family "Bacterial large subunit ribosomal RNA", at positions 1 to 300 of the family's 2925-position model. Lineage: Bacteria; Bacillati; Bacillota; Clostridia; Peptostreptococcales; Peptostreptococcaceae. The record is from RNAcentral.